RNAcentral lists this transfer RNA (73 nucleotides) under Mycobacterium botniense. It matches the Rfam family "tRNA". Rfam says of the family: Transfer RNA (tRNA) molecules are approximately 80 nucleotides in length. Their secondary structure includes four short double-helical elements and three loops (D, anti-codon, and T loops). RNAcentral also lists the same sequence under 3 other names. The record is from Rfam by way of RNAcentral. Lineage: Bacteria; Bacillati; Actinomycetota; Actinomycetes; Mycobacteriales; Mycobacteriaceae.
GCGCCCGUAGCUCAACGGAUAGAGCAUCUGACUACGGAUCAGAAGGUUGGGGGUUCGAUUCCCUUCGGGCGCG